ACAGCAGCAGCCGCGGUAAUACGUAGGUCCCGAGCGUUGUCCGGAUUUAUUGGGCGUAAAGGGCUCGCAGGCGGUUUCUUAAGUCUGAUGUGAAAGCCCCCGGCUCAACCGGGGAGGGUCAUUGGAAACUGGGAAACUUGAGUGCAGAAGAGGAGAGUGGAAUUCCACGUGUAGCGGUGAAAUGCGUAGAGAUGUGGAGGAACACCAGUGGCGAAGGCGACUCUCUGGUCUGUAACUGACGCUGAGGAGCGAAAGCGUGGGGAGCGAACAGGAUUAGAGACCCGUGUAGUCCCUGUCUCUUAUAA
Molecule: ribosomal RNA, 305 nt
Filed under: uncultured bacterium
Lineage: Bacteria
Description: partial 16S ribosomal RNA
Rfam family: Bacterial small subunit ribosomal RNA
Source: RNAcentral